CUUCUUCUUGAAUCUUCCUUCUUUUCCUCUGUAUUUUUGUUUGCUUUUGUUUUCCUUCACAACACACGACCGAGAUCGAUAGAGACCUGAGAAAGUUGCUGCUGCUACCGUUGCUGUCAAAGAAGUGAAGAACUAAAGAGAGAGCAAAAGUUCUGGAUUAAGUUUUGGUGAUUUCUGAAGCAGAUGGAGCAAAGGAAGUAGGUUAGUUAUAGAUGAUUGGGAGCAAGACCUGCAGAAAGUUAGAAAUUGGACCAUGCUUGGUUAUGAACUUUUUUUAAUAUGUUUAUGAACUUUUAGGUUUGUACUUUUUUAAUAUGUUUAUGAACUUUUGGGUUUUUAAUAUGUAAUUAUGUAUGGAUGUAAAAUUUCCUUGAGGGCAUGAUAGUUAAUAUGUAUGAUUAGUAAUUUUGAUUCAUACAAUUACUUUCAAUGUCUUGGAAUGAAAUUUUAAGAAAUA
This is a long non-coding RNA of Alnus glutinosa, 457 nucleotides long. RefSeq lists it as uncharacterized. Lineage: Eukaryota; Viridiplantae; Streptophyta; Magnoliopsida; Fagales; Betulaceae. The record is from RefSeq and is a predicted model, not a curated record. The transcript is spliced from 3 exons.